GACCCGGGGCGUUAACCUCGGAAUUGCAUUUGUAAACUAGGCAGGCUAGAGUCUUGUAGAGGGGGGUAGGAAGUUUCUAGGUGUAGCGGUGAAAUAGCGUAGAGAUCUGAAGGAAUACCAGUGGCGAAGGCGGCCCCCCUCGGACAAAGACUGACGCUCAGAUGCGAAAGCGUGGGGAGCAAACAGGAUUAGAUACCCCUGGUAG
This 205-nucleotide ribosomal RNA is filed under the name uncultured bacterium. RNAcentral describes it as "partial 16S ribosomal RNA". It matches the Rfam family "Bacterial small subunit ribosomal RNA", at positions 599 to 793 of the family's 1533-position model. The record is from RNAcentral.